UGGUGGAGUGAUUUGUCUGGUUAAUUCCGUUAACGAACGAGACCUCGACCUACUAAAUAGUGUGGUGAAUUCUUCGGGAUUCAUUCAUCGCUUCUUAGAGGGACUAUCGGUGUGUAGCCGAUGGAAGUUCGAGGCAAUAACA
This 142-nucleotide ribosomal RNA is filed under the name uncultured eukaryote. RNAcentral describes it as "partial 18S ribosomal RNA". It matches the Rfam family "Eukaryotic small subunit ribosomal RNA", at positions 1299 to 1458 of the family's 1831-position model. The record is from RNAcentral.